Molecule: ribosomal RNA, 253 nt
Filed under: uncultured bacterium
Lineage: Bacteria
Description: partial 16S ribosomal RNA
Rfam family: Bacterial small subunit ribosomal RNA
Source: RNAcentral
UACGUAGGGGGCUAGCGUUGUCCGGAUUUAUUGGGCGUAAAGAGCGUGUAGGCGGCCAGGUAGGUCUGGUGUGAAAACUCGAGGCUUAACCUCGAGAUGUCAUCGGAAACCAUCUGGCUAGAGUCCGGAAGAGGAGAAUGGAAUUCCCGGUGUAGCGGUGAAAUGCGCAGAUAUCGGGAAGAACACCCGUGGCGAAGGCGGUUCUCUGGGACGGUACUGACGCUGAGACGCGAAGGCGUGGGGAGCGAACAGG